RNAcentral lists this ribosomal RNA (500 nucleotides) under uncultured marine bacterium. RNAcentral describes it as "bacterial SSU rRNA". It matches the Rfam family "Bacterial small subunit ribosomal RNA", at positions 42 to 526 of the family's 1533-position model. The record is from RNAcentral.
GCGUGCCUAAUACAUGCAAGUCGAGCGGAACCAUUGGAGCUUGCUCCUUUGGUUUAGCGGCGGACGGGUGAGUAACACGUGGGCAACCUGCCCUGCAGAUCGGGAUAACUCCGGGAAACCGGUGCUAAUACCGAAUAGUUUGCGGCCUCUCAUGAGGCUGCACGGAAAGACGGUUUCGGCUGUCACUGCAGGAUGGGCCCGCGGCGCAUUAGCUAGUUGGUGGGGUAACGGCCUACCAAGGCGACGAUGCGUAGCCGACCUGAGAGGGUGAUCGGCCACACUGGGACUGAGACACGGCCCAGACUCCUACGGGAGGCAGCAGUAGGGAAUCUUCCGCAAUGGACGAAAGUCUGACGGAGCAACGCCGCGUGAGUGAAGAAGGUUUUCGGAUCGUAAAACUCUGUUGUGAGGGAAGAACAAGUAUCAACUAACUAUUGGUACCUUGACGGUACCUCACCAGAAAGCCACGGCUAACUACGUGCCAGCAGCCGCGGUAAUAC